RNA transcript from Magnolia sinica, 1982 nucleotides. RefSeq lists it as uncharacterized. The record is from RefSeq and is a predicted model, not a curated record. The transcript has 7 exons. Lineage: Eukaryota; Viridiplantae; Streptophyta; Magnoliopsida; Magnoliales; Magnoliaceae.
GGGAGAGGGGGAGAGAGAGGUGGUGAAUAGAGCAGAGAGAAGCAGAGAGCGAAAGCUCGCUAGAUUCCUCAGAGCAUGGUCUUUAGAUGAAUAACUGAGAUCUGAUCUCAGAGAGAGAGAGAGAGAGAGAGAGAGAGAGAGAAUGGGGUGUUCUUUCUCUGGUUUGAAUGCUCUGUACGAUGCCGUGAACGGAGGUGGGGAUGUCUGGAUCAACGAGAAUCGUUUCAGGAUCGUGAGGCAGCUGGGAGAAGGCGGAUUCGCGUAUGUCUAUCUCGUCAAGGAGGUCACUACCGACGGAUCUGCUGCUGAUACUGGGAGUGGAAAGAAAUUCAAGGACUCUUCUCAUGUUUCAGAUGAUGGCACAUAUGCUAUGAAGAAAGUGCUAAUUCAAAAUAAUGAGCAGUUGGAGUUGGUGAGGCAGGAGAUCCGUCUUUCAUCCCUGUUCAAUCAUCCUAAUUUACUUCCCCUUCUUGAUCAUGCUAUCAUUGCGGUUAAGGGUGCCCAGGAAGGAUCACGGAAUCAUGAAGCUUACUUGUUAUUUCCAGUUCAUUUGGAUGGAACAUUACUAGACAAUGCCAAAGUAAUGAAAGAUAAAAAGGAGUUCUUUUCAACAAUUAAUGUUCUUCAGAUAUUCCGGCAGCUUUGUGCAGGACUGAAACAUAUGCACAGCUUUGACCCUCCAUAUGCUCACAAUGAUGUCAAACCAGGUAAUGUCCUCAUCACGCACAGAAAAGGACAGCAUCCCCUCGCAAUUCUAAUGGAUUUUGGAAGUGCUGGGCCUGCAAAGAAGUCUGUUCACAGUCGUUCUGAGGCACUACAACUGCAGGAAUGGGCAGCUGAGCAUUGUUCUGCUCCUUUUCGAGCCCCUGAGUUGUGGGAUUGUCCAAGCCAUGCUGACAUUGAUGAGAGGACGGAUAUUUGGUCUCUAGGAUGUACUCUCUACGCAAUAAUGUAUGGUGAAUCUCCCUUUGAGUACGUGCUUGGCGAAUCUGGAGGAAGCUUACAGUUGGCUGUCAUGAAUGCCCAGAUAAAAUGGCCCACAGGGCCCAACCCACCCUACCCCGAGCCUCUCCAUCAGUUUGUGACAUGGAUGCUCCAAACGCAGGUUGCUCUCCGUCCACGCAUUGACGACAUCAUAAUUCACGUGGACAAGCUGAUAUCCAAAUACUCUGCUUGAUCAAAAUGUCAAUGUAUAAAGUCAAAUCAGGAAAAGAGAAAAAAGCCCGCAUGCCCCAGAUAGGACUUGGCGCGAAUCCCUGUGCAACUUCUGGCUUUCAUGCGAGAAAUCCCAUUUGGGCAUACAUGGAAUCUAUUUCAGAUCAGUUCUGGUUCGUCGUUAAGGUAUAUAUGUGGUAAAAGCUUGUGUAGUCUGAGGAGACUUUGUAUGAUUCAGUCAGCAGCAUUAUGGUGCAUUGUAAUGUGUGUUUUAAGUGUACCAGUGCAGAGAUUAGCUGAUGGCUUUAAGAGAGAGCACCAACAAUACGAUGGAAAAGAAAGUCUAAGAAGCCGACCUUUUAAGGGAAGGAGGGUUACCUCACGGUCUCUUUUUGGCUUGAAGAAUUGAGUUCCAAUUUGUGGUCAAUUUUAUUGCGACCAACACGGGCCAACGCAAAGUGGUUAGCCGUCACAUGGCGAGGCUAUCUUAAUUAAAAUGAAGUUGUCAAAAUAGUGAAGUUGGUCAUCAAUACAACGAAGUUAACUGUUAAUAUGUAAGAACCAACAACAAACUAACUGCCGACCCACAACCGACCAUUAAUGGUCGAUUAGGUCAAAAUUACCAUGGCCGAAUGAAGGGCUAAAAUGACCAAUUUAAUGACUGAAACGAUUUCCAAUAACCAAUUUGACUAGGGUAUCCUUUAUAAUGGGAAUCCCAGGAACAUCAAAAGAAAUGGCUGUCCCAACGGCCAAUUUGAUGAAGAACUUUCAAUUCUGAUUCAAUGUCUUUUCGUAUUAUCUAAAUGCAAAGAGAUGUGAGGUGCAUU